Molecule: ribosomal RNA, 253 nt
Filed under: uncultured bacterium
Lineage: Bacteria
Description: partial 16S ribosomal RNA
Rfam family: Bacterial small subunit ribosomal RNA
Source: RNAcentral
UACGGGGGGGGCAAGCGUUGUUCGGAAUUACUGGGCGUAAAGGGCUCGUAGGUGGCCAACUAAGUCAGACGUGAAAUCCCUCGGCUUAACCGGGGAACUGCGUCUGAUACUGGAUGGCUUGAGUUUGGGAGAGGGAUGCGGAAUUCCAGGUGUAGCGGUGAAAUGCGUAGAUAUCUGGAGGAACACCGGUGGCGAAGGCGGCAUCCUGGACCAAUACUGACGCUGAGGAACGAAAGCGUGGGGAGCGAACAGG